CGGGUAUCUUCGGAUACUAGUGGCAGACGGGUGAGUAACACGUGGGAACGUACCUUUCGGUUCGGAAUAAUACAGGGAAACUUGUACUAAUACCGGAUACGCCCUUCGGGGGAAAGAUUUAUCGCCGAUAGAUCGGCCCGCGUCUGAUUAGCUAGUUGGUGAGGUAAUGGCUCACCAAGGCGACGAUCAGUAGCUGGUCUGAGAGGAUGAUCAGCCACACUGGGACUGAGACACGGCCCAGACUCCUACGGGAGGCAGCAGUGGGGAAUAUUGGACAAUGGGCGAAAGCCUGAUCCAGCCAUGCCGCGUGUGUGAUGAAGGCCUUAGGGUUGUAAAGCACUUUUGUCCGGGAAGAUAAUGACUGUACCGGAAGAAUAAGCCCCGGCUAACUUCGUGCCAGCAGCCGCGGUAAUACGAAGGGGGCUAGCGUUGCUCGGAAUCACUGGGCGUAAAGGGCGCGUAGGCGGACUCUUAAGUCGGGGGUGAAAGCCCAGGGCUCAACCCUGGAAUUGCCUUCGAUACUGAGAGUCUUGAGUUCGGAAGAGGUUGGUGGAACUGCGAGUGUAGAGGUGAAAUUC
Molecule: ribosomal RNA, 578 nt
Filed under: Allobosea sp. LB1-4
Lineage: Bacteria; Pseudomonadati; Pseudomonadota; Alphaproteobacteria; Hyphomicrobiales; Alloboseaceae
Description: bacterial SSU rRNA
Rfam family: Bacterial small subunit ribosomal RNA
Source: RNAcentral